AGAGUUUGAUCCUGGCUCAGAGCGAACGCUGGCGGCAGGCUUAACACAUGCAAGUCGAGCGGGCGUAGCAAUACGUCAGCGGCAGACGGGUGAGUAACGCGUGGGAACGUACCUUUUGGUUCGGAACAACACAGGGAAACUUGUGCUAAUACCGGAUAAGCCCUUACGGGGAAAGAUUUAUCGCCGAAAGAUCGGCCCGCGUCUGAUUAGCUAGUUGGUAGGGUAAUGGCCUACCAAGGCGACGAUCAGUAGCUGGUCUGAGAGGAUGAUCAGCCACAUUGGGACUGAGACACGGCCCAAACUCCUACGGGAGGCAGCAGUGGGGAAUAUUGGACAAUGGGGGCAACCCUGAUCCAGCCAUGCCGCGUGAGUGAUGAAGGCCCUAGGGUUGUAAAGCUCUUUUGUGCGGGAAGAUAA
This 417-nucleotide ribosomal RNA is filed under the name uncultured organism. RNAcentral describes it as "bacterial SSU rRNA". It matches the Rfam family "Bacterial small subunit ribosomal RNA", at positions 8 to 451 of the family's 1533-position model. The record is from RNAcentral.